UACGUAGGUGGCGAGCGUUGUUCGGAAUUACUGGGCGUAAAGCGCACGUAGGCGGCUUUGUAAGUUAGAGGUGAAAGCCCGGGGCUCAACUCCGGAAUUGCCUUUAAGACUGCAUCGCUUGAACGUCGGAGAGGUAAGUGGAAUUCCGAGUGUAGAGGUGAAAUUCGUAGAUAUUCGGAAGAACACCAGUGGCGAAGGCGACUUACUGGACGACUGUUGACGCUGAGGUGCGAAAGCGUGGGGAGCAAACAGG
Molecule: ribosomal RNA, 253 nt
Filed under: uncultured bacterium
Lineage: Bacteria
Description: partial 16S ribosomal RNA
Rfam family: Bacterial small subunit ribosomal RNA
Source: RNAcentral